GGCAGUUUGGCACGCUGGCACUGCACUAGCACUGUUGAUACUGUACUGUAUUAAUAUGGCAAUAAUACUGAUUACGACUAGCAAUUGAACCUAAGAAAUACACCAUGGAAUUACAAUGACAAAGGAAUACAUGCGACAUGACAAAGGCGGGAUAAAACUGGUAUUAGGGCAAAGCAGAGAAGCAAAGAAUAAACAGUUUAGCAUUCCUCUUCAUGUGUCUCAGGGGAUUGAUAACAUCCUGCAGGCGAUGGUCCCCUUGUACCAUCUGGAGGAGGGGAUGAAGACGCCGCCAGUCAGAGGAGAUUGCUGCUGCACACAUACACUAAUCUGCUUACUUAUUUAAUUUGAAAUAAACAAUAAUUAUAUUGACUAAUAAUCUGCUCAUGUAUUUUGGUCAAGCAAAUCACAAUGUAGCAGUUAAAUCAUGAUAACCUAAAUGAUAAUGUAAAAUAAAUAAUUGCAAUUAACCAUAAGCUAUAUUGUACAGCAGGCUAUACAAAAUGUUUAUAUGGGGAAUGGGUGUGUAAUUACCACACAUUAAUAAAUGCGCUGACAACACCGUUCUGCCUGUGAGAAGGAUAACAUAAAAGCUUAUCUGGAUAAAGAAAUGAUAUUGUCCAUGUAGAAGAUAAAUAAAAAAGAAUUUUAUUAGUGUA
This is a long non-coding RNA of Silurus meridionalis, 656 nucleotides long. RefSeq lists it as uncharacterized. NCBI's taxonomy places the organism in Eukaryota, Metazoa, Chordata, Actinopteri, Siluriformes, Siluridae. The record is from RefSeq and is a predicted model, not a curated record. The transcript is spliced from 2 exons.